UACAGAGGUCUCAACCGUUGUUCGGAUUCAUUGGGCGUAAAGGGUGCGUAGGCGGCGGGGCAAGUCAGGUGUGAAAGCCCCGGGCUCAACCUGGGAAUUGCGCUUGUGACUGGCGUGCUGGAGUGUGGCAGAGGGAGGUGGAAUUCCUGGUGUAGGAGUGAAAUCCGUAGAUAUCAGGAGGAACAUCAGCGGCGAAGGCGGCUGACUGGCGAUGCAUUGACGCUGAGGUGCGAAAGCGUGGGGAGCAAACAGG
Molecule: ribosomal RNA, 253 nt
Filed under: uncultured bacterium
Lineage: Bacteria
Description: partial 16S ribosomal RNA
Rfam family: Bacterial small subunit ribosomal RNA
Source: RNAcentral